This 215-nucleotide long non-coding RNA is filed under the name Olea europaea (common olive). Its description in RNAcentral is "long non-coding RNA (OEUR_LNC008662)". The record is from RNAcentral. Lineage: Eukaryota; Viridiplantae; Streptophyta; Magnoliopsida; Lamiales; Oleaceae.
CUUAUAAUUGUCGGUUCACUUAGUGAUAUACUUGGUCCACUUACCUAUGUUAUUGGGCUUGGCCAAAUACUGUACCUGAUGCAAACUUACAUAUAAUUGCCACCUUUGCUUUUGUGUGACCGUUUCCUUUUCCUUUGAUGAAAUCGGCGGUUGGCUUUGUGCUCUCUUUACCACUUCUUCAUCUUCUUUCUCUGCCUUUGUGGCUGCCUUCACGA